This 291-nucleotide long non-coding RNA is filed under the name Fukomys damarensis (Damara mole-rat). RNAcentral's name for it is "lncRNA (ENSFDAG00000023177.1)". Lineage: Eukaryota; Metazoa; Chordata; Mammalia; Rodentia; Bathyergidae. The record is from RNAcentral.
CCCCUUUUUUUUUCUCCAGUUUCAAGCCCUGGUGCUCACCUGGCGCUGCGUCCAGUGCUGCGUGCCAGAGAAACCCGUGGGAGCUGGCACAGACCGGACCCAGUGUCACAGCCUGUCAUACAGUGUACCCACUCUAGAAGUUUCUUCACCUUGGGCCUGCAGACCUCAAGAGGUUCCCAGAUUCCCAAAUGGGAAGUCUUCGCUAACUUCUGGUUGACAUUUAACACUGAAUGCAGACCACAGACCACGGUUGGAUUAACAUCACCUUGACUUUGUCAUCAUGAAAACCAC